This 421-nucleotide ribosomal RNA is filed under the name uncultured bacterium. RNAcentral's name for it is "bacterial SSU rRNA". It matches the Rfam family "Bacterial small subunit ribosomal RNA", at positions 335 to 777 of the family's 1533-position model. The record is from RNAcentral.
ACUCCUACGGGAGGCAGCAGUGGGAAUAUUGGACAAUGGGGCACCGUAGCAUCCAGCGAUGCGCGUGUGUGAAGAAGGCCUGAGGGUUGUAAAGCACUUUUAGUGGAAAGAUAAUGACGGUAUCCACAGAAAAGCACCGGCUAACUUCGUGCCAGCAGCCGCGGUAAUACGAAGGGUGCUAGCGUUGUUCGGAAUUACUGGGCGUAAAGAGCUCGUAGGCGGUUUGUCACGUCUGCUGUGAAAAUCCAAGGCUCAACCUUGGACUUGCAGUGGGUACGGGCAGGCUAGAGUGCGGUAGGGGAGAUGGGAAUUCCUGGUGUAGCGGUGGAAUGCGCAGAUAUCAGGAGGAACACCAAUGGCGAAGGCACAUCUCUGGGCCGUAACUGACGCUGAGGAGCGAAAGCGUGGGGAGCGAACAGGA